UUGAAAAAAAAAACGUUCCACCCAGUAGUAAAAUUCAAUGUUUAUUGGCCACACAUCAAAACAGUAUGUUUUUAAUUUCAAGAGGGAAUGUAUAAGGUAUAGACUAUGAAAGUGCAAAUAGUAUUUCAAGGAUUAGUUGCUUUAUAAUAAAAAUGUAACGGCUUUCAACAACAUUUGCCAUUUUUUAAAAUUGUAUAUAUUUUUUUUUAAAGUAAAAUGCCAAGAAAAUCCAAAUGUAAUUUUAUGUUUUACUCAUUUCAUGCACAGUUGAAACUGUUACAUCAAGACUGAAGUCCCACAAGUUCACCAGCUUCGUGUACGGCACUCACAGCUUCACGUUUGCAAGACACGUUUCAAUGCAAUAAGUUUCUUCAGCGGUUGUUUCAAUAGUCACUGUACAAUUACUUCAGAUACAAAUCACACUAGGUUUGGCUAAAGAUCAAUUACUUCAGAUACAAAUCACACUAGGUUUGGCUAAAGAUCAAUUACUUCAGAUACAAAUCACACUAGGUUUGGCUAAAGAUCAAUUACUUCAGAUACAAAUCACACUAGGUUUGGCUAAAGAUCAAUUACUUCAGAUACAAAUCACACUAGGUUUGGCUAAAGAUCAAUUACUUCAGAUACAAAUCACACUAGGUUUGGCUAAAGAUCAAUUCCAAAAUGUGAAACGUUGAAAUAUCAAUAUCAUUUAUAAUUCAUUAAUACUUUAUAUAGGCAACAAAUCAAUACAACUUGUUUUUUUUCUUUCAAAAUUAGUUAUUCAGAAUAUCUCGAUAUCCAUUUUCAAAUCGCAAUAAGAAACGUCCAAUUUAAAUAAAGACGUCUGUUUUUUUUCCCCCCGCUGUCCUGCAUUGUGUUUUCUGCUCCAGGAUACAUUUUAUAAAUACCUUUCACCCCAAAAGUCAAACACUCGUCAUCAACUUGUAGAUCCGUUAUCGAACCCACAGGUAUGUCUGUCCAUCCAAGAACAACCCACCAAAGCCCAUCCACAACAAAAUAACUAACAAACCAGUAAAACAGUGUUUAAUAUCAUCAGGUCAAAAUCAGAGGUGUAAAUUUAUAAAACAUGAUAUAAAUACAACACUCUGGGAAACAACUUGAUACCACACUAAAGAGAGGCUACAAUUAUAAAAAAUGUAUUUU
Oncorhynchus mykiss (rainbow trout) is the source of this 1143-nucleotide non-coding RNA. The record is from RefSeq and is a predicted model, not a curated record. Lineage: Eukaryota; Metazoa; Chordata; Actinopteri; Salmoniformes; Salmonidae.